ACAGGGAGAUGCACCUUGCCUGGCAGCCAUCUUGGGCCUUUGUUGCCCUCGGCACCUCAGAGCAGCCAGUCCUGCAGUGCUACCUGGGCUGCAUGUCAAGCUGGGCCUGGCCUCAGGGCCAUAGCAGGAGGAGCCUGAGGUGGGGCAGCACUGUAUUCUGUCCCUCACCCCUUCAGGGAUGCCCCUGGGGAUGGAGCAGGUAGCUCUGGGAUGGACCAGCACCUGUGGGAGCAGCACACAGAAUGAAGUUAUUCUGGAUGCCUAAGCACUUACGUCACUCUCCUCAUUUGAAAUUGGAUGUUAAAGAAAAAAAACAGUGGAGGUGAAACAGAUGACAAGGUACUUGAUCAGCAGAAGACCAUGAAAGCAGCAGGAAGAGGGAGAAUCCUCUGCAUUUGCUGCUGAUGGAAACAGUAGAAGAAAAUCUCAUUACUGUCUUGAAGUCCUCAAAAACGGGAAUGAAUGAUAUUAACAAUGGUGUCUAUUAAAAAUGGCAUCUGAAACAUCAUUGUAAAGUGAAGAUUUAUUUAAAAAAUCUAGAAUGGUCAGAGUUGUUUGUUGUUUUUGUGCCCCAUCUGCCCACCAGAGAAAUCCAAGGCCACAUACGCACCUGCUGGUAAUGCUCUGGAGAUGAGUUCUGGGAGGACAGGCAACACCUGGGUUCUGGCAAAGCAAGACCUUGAAGUUCGUGUUGCUGAAAGCAUAUCUGACUGCUGGAAGGGAUAAACAGAAGGGUCCUGCUCCAGGAGUCGCAGAGGCUAACCAGUGCAAAACAGCAAUUAUCUGUGGAAAUACUUAAACUCAUCUUUUCAUAGUGACAAAGCCAGUUCUACAAGGUUCAGCCUGGAAGCCCUUUGAGGUUCCUUGCCUGCCAGGACGGGAGGAGUCGAUCGCUGCUGGAUGAAAAACCCCAUCGGACAAAACUUCAGUGCCUGUGUUUGGGGAUUUGUGCAGCAUCAAGCACGGUAUUGUUAAGAGAAGUAUAAUUCUUCAUGGAUGAGGCAAUGUCAUCUAUGAGUGAUUUAUUUAGAGACAGAAAGAAAAAUAUUUUUAAAUGCAUCAAUACCUGUUUUAAUGUGUUUUAGGUGAAACUCAGUGCCCUUUAUAAUCAGGGCUUUAGGGUUAGUUAUUAGUUAGUUAUAUUAGUUAGUUAUAGCAUAAAUAAUGCAGGAUGCUAAAAAUAUUUUAAAAUGGGUUACAUAAAUAAUUAUUUCACUAAUAUGUCUAAAAACAUAACCUGUUUUCCUGGACUAGAUAGACAUUUCUUGCAACACUGCAUUUUAAUCCACAUUCCACUGCCUGGAAAAGAUAUGCUUAAUUCUUUGGAAAAGAGCUCUAAGAAGUGAGAAAUUGAAAAAUGCUGGCUUCAUCAACUUUUGGAGCCAGUACGUUUCCCUUUGCUUCCUGGUUGCCAAAACCUUUUAUCCAUUAAGGAUACUCAGACUUACAUCUACUCAGUUCACUUACACAGAUCCAUAUAUUACGAGGUACUGGAUUCCAGGGUAGGUCUUACACAAAGCGCUGCUGAGAUGGCCCCUUACAUCCUGACAGACCAUCCAUGUACUGAAAGCUAGCAUAGUGUUAGGGAAGCAUUGUUGGAUUUACUGCCUACUGAAGGAAAGAGCGCUCUCCCUAAAAUAAAAUAAAAUAAAAUAGUUAGCAUUUCAUGUAAAUUUGAGAACACCUGAUGUUUAUAUGUCAACCUGAGCUGAGCCUGCUUAUAAUGUAAUGCACUCCUUUCUAAUAACUGGAAUGUCGUAUUUUUUAUGGCCUCAUUCAAAUAUAUUUUCAUAAU
This 1795-nucleotide long non-coding RNA is filed under the name Gallus gallus (chicken). Its description in RNAcentral is "lncRNA (ENSGALG00010009967.1)". The record is from RNAcentral. Lineage: Eukaryota; Metazoa; Chordata; Aves; Galliformes; Phasianidae.